Molecule: ribosomal RNA, 403 nt
Filed under: Verrucomicrobiota bacterium
Lineage: Bacteria; Pseudomonadati; Verrucomicrobiota
Description: Verrucomicrobia bacterium partial 16S ribosomal RNA
Rfam family: Bacterial small subunit ribosomal RNA
Source: RNAcentral
UGGGGAAUAUUGCACAAUGGGGGAAACCCUGAUGCAGCGACGCCGCGUGAGCGAAGAAGGCUUUCGAGUCGUAAAGCUCUGUCCUAUGAGAAGAUAAUGACGGUAUCAUAGGAGGAAGCCCUGGCUAAAUACGUGCCAGCAGCCGCGGUAAUACGUAUGGGGCGAGCGUUGUCCGGAAUUAUUGGGCGUAAAGGGUACGUAGGCGGUCUAUUAAGUCAGGUGUGAAAGCGUGAGGCUUAACCUCAUUAAGCACUUGAAACUGAUAGACUUGAGUGAAGGAGAGGAAAGUGGAAUUCCUAGUGUAGCGGUGAAAUGCGUAGAUAUUAGGGGGAAUACCGGUGGCGAAGGCGACUUUCUGGACUUUUACUGACGCUCAGGUACGAAAGCGUGGGGAGCAAACAGG